RNAcentral lists this ribosomal RNA (772 nucleotides) under Pseudomonas sp. Its description in RNAcentral is "bacterial SSU rRNA". It matches the Rfam family "Bacterial small subunit ribosomal RNA", at positions 26 to 788 of the family's 1533-position model. Lineage: Bacteria; Pseudomonadati; Pseudomonadota; Gammaproteobacteria; Pseudomonadales; Pseudomonadaceae. The record is from RNAcentral.
AAUUGAAACGCUGGGCGGCAGGCCUAAACACAUGCAAAGUCGAGCGGAUGAAGGGAGCUUGCUCCUGGAUUCAGCGGCGGACGGGUGAGUAAUGCCUAGGAAUCUGCCUGGUAGUGGGGGAUAACGUCCGGAAAACGGGCGCUAAUACCGCAUACGUCCUGAGGGAGAAAGUGGGGGGAUCUUCGGACCUCACGCUAUCAGAUGAGCCUAGGUCGGAUUAGCUAGUUGGUGGGGUAAAGGCCUACCAAGGCGACGAUCCGUAACUGGUCUGAGAGGAUGAUCAGUCACACUGGAACUGAGACACGGUCCAGACUCCUACGGGAGGCAGCAGUGGGGAAUAUUGGACAAUGGGCGAAAGCCUGAUCCAGCCAUGCCGCGUGUGUGAAGAAGGUCUUCGGAUUGUAAAGCACUUUAAGUUGGGAGGAAGGGCAGUAAGUUAAUACCUUGCUGUUUUGACGUUACCAACAGAAUAAGCACCGGCUAACUUCGUGCCAGCAGCCGCGGUAAUACGAAGGGUGCAAGCGUUAAUCGGAAUUACUGGGCGUAAAGCGCGCGUAGGUGGUUCAGCAAGUUGGAUGUGAAAUCCCCGGGCUCAACCUGGGAACUGCAUCCAAAACUACUGAGCUAGAGUACGGUAGAGGGUGGUGGAAUUUCCUGUGUAGCGGUGAAAUGCGUAGAUAUAGGAAGGAACACCAGUGGCGAAGGCGACCACCUGGACUGAUACUGACACUGAGGUGCGAAAGCGUGGGGAGCAAACAGGAUUAGAUACCCU